Molecule: long non-coding RNA, 568 nt
Filed under: Setaria viridis
Lineage: Eukaryota; Viridiplantae; Streptophyta; Magnoliopsida; Poales; Poaceae
Description: long non-coding RNA (SVIR_LNC004959)
Source: RNAcentral
GGCAGGGGAGGUGGGGGUGCAGGCGCAAGUGGGGGGUGCUAGGGAAAUAAAGGAGAGAGAGAAGGAAGAGGAAGGGAGAGGAGGAAGAAAGAGAAGGAAAAAUGAGAAGGGAAAGAAAGGGGAGGAAAAAGAAAGAAGGAAGAGAAAGAGGAGGAAAGGGAGGGGAAAAAGAUGGCGGAAAUUGAGGGAUUCGACUGCGCGCGGCGAUGGACUUGACGGGCACGCGACGAAAAUUACGGGGAGCGGAAAAUGGAGAGUUGACGAGCCGGGGCCGGGACGGCGGGUCCGACGGAAGGGAAAGGAUUUGACGGAGCUCGGCGGUCGGAAAAAAAUUUUGGAGAGUAUUUUUAACGGGUGAUUUAACUGGGUGUAUUUUACGGGCGUUACAAACCUACCCCACUUAAAUUGAAUCUCGUCCUCGAGAUUCGGCUGAGUCCUGAACAGAUGGGGAAAUUCCUUCUUUAACGCAUCCUCGCGUUCCCAAGUGGCUUCUUCCUCACCAUGCCUACUCCAUUGAACUCUGCAAAUCCGCACUGCUGAAGUCCUUGUCCUUCUGGUGACUGUGUCC